This 262-nucleotide ribosomal RNA is filed under the name uncultured bacterium. Its description in RNAcentral is "partial 16S ribosomal RNA". It matches the Rfam family "Bacterial small subunit ribosomal RNA", at positions 793 to 1055 of the family's 1533-position model. The record is from RNAcentral.
GUCCACGCCGUAAACGAUGGGCAUUAGGUGUGGGAGGUGUCGACUCCUCCCGUGCCGGCGCUAACGCAUUAAAUGCCCCGCCUGGGGAGUACGGCCGCAAGGCUAAAACUCAAAGGAAUUGACGGGGCCCGCACAAGCAGCGGAGCAUGUGGUUUAAUUCGAUGCAACGCGAAGAACCUUACCUGGGCUUGACAUGUUUGUGACAGCCGUGGAAACACGGUCUUCCUUCGGGACACUUACACAGGUGGUGCAUGGCUGUCGU